This is a long non-coding RNA of Helianthus annuus (common sunflower), 798 nucleotides long. RefSeq lists it as uncharacterized. The transcript has 2 exons. NCBI's taxonomy places the organism in Eukaryota, Viridiplantae, Streptophyta, Magnoliopsida, Asterales, Asteraceae. The record is from RefSeq and is a predicted model, not a curated record.
CAUCUUUCUCACCCAUUUUCCUCCUACCUCCACCCACCAAAACCAUCACAUUCUAGCCACCACCAUGAAAUAAUACACCAAAACCUUCACUUUCGUCAACCACCUUCUUCAAACCCUAAUGAAGUGGCUUCAAAUUCGUCAACAAAAUCCUCUUUAACCCCAAUUUUGCCCCUUUAAAACAAAACACUAGAAGACCUUCAGACACCACAUUUGAACGAAAUUUUACAGGUUUUGCUAUGAACAAUGUUUCUAGCAGCAGCUUGGUGCAACGACAGACACGUAUAGAGAGAGGGGGUGGUGAUUUAGGGUUUUGACUGGUGGCAACACAAAUCCCAUAAACUACGAUUUCAGAAGUAAAGGGGUAGCGUGGUGGUCUGUUGGUGAUGGGUUGGUGGUUUACCGUAGUGAUGGUGGUGAUAGCAACAAAGACCGAUGAAAAUGGCUGUAAUUAUAAGCCGCAAACAUGGUGAUGGCUGGAUUUUGCUUAGAUGAAGAUAGUGUAUUGGUUGUGUUUUGGUGGACGGUGGGGAUGAUGAACAGUGGGUUCUUUUUUAUGAACAAUGGUGGUGGUUGUAAAUGAUGAAUGCUUAUGGUUGCAGCGAUGGUGUUGAUGGUAGUGUAAAGUGGUAACAAUUGGGGGUGGUGUCUGGUUGUGUAGUGGUGGGUGGUGGGUUGGAAAUGGAGGUGAAGCAAAGGUAGUUAAAGAGAGAGCAGGGGAUGAGAACUUAUUAGCUUUUGUUUUUGUUGGUUUUUUUAAAUCUAAACUUGUUUUUGUUAAAAUAAAAUAUAUUUAAUCAA